GUAAUAUAUAGUUAACGUGCCUCUUAGCCUGGGAUAGCCACUGGAAACGGUGAUUAAUACUGGAUACUCCUUCUAACUUAAUGUUAGUCGGGAAAGGUUUUUCGCUAAGAGAUCGGACUAUAUUGUAUCAGCUAGUUGGGGAGGUAAUGGCUCACCAAGGCAAUGACACAUAGCGGGUUUGAGAGGAUGAUCCGCCACACUGGUACUGAGACACGGACCAGACUCCUACGGGAGGCAGCAGUGAGGAAUAUUGCACAAUGGGGGAAACCCUGAUGCAGCAACGCCGCGUGGAGGAUGACGCAUUUCGGUGUGUAAACUCCUUUUAUAAGAGAAGAAAAUGACGGUAUCUUAUGAAUAAGUCCCGGCUAACUCCGUGCCAGCAGCCGCGGUAAUACGGAGGGGACAAGCGUUAUUCGGAAUCACUGGGCGUAAAGGACGCGUAGGCGGGUUAUUAAGUCGGGUGUGAAAUCCAAUGGCUCAACCAUUGAACUGCAUUCGAAACUGGUGACCUAGAGUAUGGAAGGGGCAGGUGGAAUUAGUGGUGUAGGGGUAAAAUCCGUAGAUAUCACUAGGAAUACCGAAAGCGAAGGCGACCUGCUGGGACAUUACUGACGCUGAGGCGUGAAAGCGUGGGGAGCAAACAGGAUUAGAUACCCUGGUAGUCCACGCCCUAAACGAUGAAUGCUAGUCGUCGGGGAGCUUGUCUCUUCGGUGAUGCACUUAACAGAUUAAGCAUUCCGCCUGGGGAGUACGGUCGCAAGAUUAAAACUCAAAGGAAUAGACGGGGACCCGCACAAGUGGUGGAGCAUGUGGUUUAAUUCGAAGAUACGCGAAGAACCUUACCUAGCCUUGACAUUGAUUGAGUCUUUCAGAGAUGAGAGAGUGCCUUUCGGGGAACAUGAAAACAGGUGCUGCACGGCUGUCGUCAGCUCGUGUCGUGAGAUGUUGGGUUAAGUCCCGCAACGAGCGC
Molecule: ribosomal RNA, 970 nt
Filed under: uncultured bacterium
Lineage: Bacteria
Description: bacterial SSU rRNA
Rfam family: Bacterial small subunit ribosomal RNA
Source: RNAcentral